This 757-nucleotide long non-coding RNA is filed under the name Phasianus colchicus (ring-necked pheasant). RNAcentral describes it as "lncRNA (ENSPCLG00000001765.1)". The record is from RNAcentral. Lineage: Eukaryota; Metazoa; Chordata; Aves; Galliformes; Phasianidae.
AAUGUAUUCUUUGUCUCGACUGAUCAGUGGAUACUUAGACAGUAAUUUGAAGUAAUUUUCAGCCAAAACUUGGAAGUAGUGAGCAGGAGCAUGGACAGGAAAAAAUAAAGCAGAAUGUAGUGACUGGUGGAAUAUCAUACAAAGUCCAUACAAGAGGCUGUGUAUUGACAGCACUUCAACUCUGAUGUCCCUCUUCAGACAAAACAAAUUCUUUGAUGCUGAAGCGAGAUAAAUUCAAAGUAUAGACUCACCUUUUUAAACAAGCACAUAGGAGAUCCUCACUCCAUCUUCCAGUGGGAUGCCACUCAGUAUGUCACUGCAACAAAGGAAGAAGUCACAAUCACAGAAUUGACAGGGCUGGAAGGGACCUCAAAGAUCAUGGAUCUCCAACCCCCCUGCCCGGAGAUGAAUAAGAUUUGAAAGAAAUGAAUAAUUGUCCCAUUUAAUUGUAGGUAUAAAGAGGCAAAAAAAAAAAACAAAAAUCUGAAGUAUGUUUUAAGCAGAAAUUAUGUGAUGGAUUCAGAAGAGUGACCCAGCAGUUUAACUCCCCAUUCCCUGUACCUGACUCACUGUGAGAAUUUUGGCCUUUUAUGCUGUUCACAGGAUCUUUGAGCAAAAAAUGAAAGUGUCUGUGCAACCAUCAGACAGGGUUGAAUCCCGAAAGAUGUGCUACUAAUAGAGAAAAAGGGCAGGAGGAGUCCAGAAAUAAGCUGCUGAGGAAAUGAGGAACACUACCAUAUUGUGUGACUGGACACAC